This 504-nucleotide ribosomal RNA is filed under the name uncultured bacterium. RNAcentral describes it as "partial 16S ribosomal RNA". It matches the Rfam family "Bacterial small subunit ribosomal RNA", at positions 29 to 523 of the family's 1533-position model. The record is from RNAcentral.
AUUGAACGCUGGCGGCAGGCCUAACACAUGCAAGUCGAGCGGUAGCACAGAGAGCUUGCUCUCGGGUGACGAGCGGCGGACGGGUGAGUAAUGUCUGGGAAACUGCCUGAUGGAGGGGGAUAACUACUGGAAACGGUAGCUAAUACCGCAUAACGUCGCAAGACCAAAGUGGGGGACCUUCGGGCCUCAUGCCAUCAGAUGUGCCCAGAUGGGAUUAGCUAGUAGGUGGGGUAACGGCUCACCUAGGCGACGAUCCCUAGCUGGUCUGAGAGGAUGACCAGCCACACUGGAACUGAGACACGGUCCAGACUCCUACGGGAGGCAGCAGUGGGGAAUAUUGCACAAUGGGCGCAAGCCUGGUGCAGCCAUGCCGCGUGUGUGAAGAAGGCCUUCGGGUUGUAAAGCACUCUCAGCGGGGAGGAAGGCGUUAAGGUUAAUAACCUUGGCGAUUGACGUUACCCGCAGAAGAAGCACCGGCUAACUCCGUGCCAGCCGCCGCCGUAA